Carassius auratus (goldfish) is the source of this 231-nucleotide small nucleolar RNA. Ensembl annotates it as small nucleolar RNA SNORA53. Its record names the gene SNORA53. The record is from Ensembl. NCBI's taxonomy places the organism in Eukaryota, Metazoa, Chordata, Actinopteri, Cypriniformes, Cyprinidae.
AACACGCUCCUUAGAUCCACCUCUGGGGAGGUUCUCCGCUCCGGUUCUGUUGUGUUCUCUCUCUGGGAGCAGCAGGAUCCACCCGGAGACUCCCAGCAGCUUCACGGCUGUACAGUUGGAGGUGCUUGAGUCAUUGGCGUGUGAGAUCAGUCCACCUGCUUACCCAGAAUCCUCUCUGCCCUGAUCCUUCACAGGAAAACACCAGAGCAGAACAGCUGGAGAGCAGACAAA